GGAAAAUCAAAUAAAUAGUAUGAUUAGCAGAACCAAAUAUGAACAGAGAUGAUAAAGGAAAGUCUAGACUAAAGAAAAUAAGGGGAAAAGAGGUCCCAUUAAGAUGUUAAACCCAUUUAGAAUUUUAUCAUCCUAAACAGCAAAUGAAGCUUUACACAAUGCAGUGAAUGGCUAUAUUUCAAGUUCAUCAGUGCUUUAAGAGACGGGGCCACCUUUCGGAAAAGGGCCAAAUUCUAUCAGCAACGUUUUAUUUAGCGGGCAAUAAAAUCAUUAGCUAUACAAAGAAGAAGAGGACAGGGAAGCAUCAGACGGCGUGGGC
Molecule: unclassified non-coding RNA, 319 nt
Filed under: Hevea brasiliensis (rubber tree)
Lineage: Eukaryota; Viridiplantae; Streptophyta; Magnoliopsida; Malpighiales; Euphorbiaceae
Source: RNAcentral